UCAAGCUACUAAGGGCGCACGGUGGAUGCCUUGGCGCCAGGAGCCGAUGAAGGGCGCAGCAAGCUGCGAUAAGCCCCGGGGAGCCGCAAGCGGGCGUUGAUCCGGGGGUACCCGAAUGGGGCAACCCGGCGCGGGUAAUGCCGCGUCAUCCCUAGCUGAAUCCAUAGGCUAGGGAGGGGAACCGGGGGAACUGAAACAUCUUAGUACCCCGAGGAGGAGAAAGAGAAAAUCGAUUCCCCCAGUAGUGGUGAGCGAAAAGGGAAGAGCCUAAACCGCCUCUGUGUGAAAGUCUGCAGGCGUUGCAGGGGUGGGGUUGUGGGUCCGGGCUGGAGCGGGCUGCAGACCGCUCGGGGAGUGAGAAAUCCUUCAUCUAGCCGAACUGGUCUGGAAAGGCCGGCCGCAGGAGGUAAGAGCCCUGUAGGCGAAAGGUGGGGGACUCUCUGGGCCUGGCACCCGAGUAACGCGGGGCACGUGGAAUCCCGCGUGAAUCUGGGCGGACCACCGCCUAAGGCUAAAGACUCCCUGGCGACCGAUAGUGAACUAGUACCGUGAGGGAAAGGUGAAAAGCACCCCGGGAGGGGAGUGAAACAGGACCUGAAACCGUGUGCCUACAAGCAGUCGGAGGGCGAUGGGUGGGGGCGCGAGUCUCCAUCCUGCCUGACGGCGUGCCUAUUGAAGAAUGAACCGGCGAGUUGCGGGCUGCAGCGAGGUUAAGGGGUGUGAGCCCUGGAGCCGUAGCGAAAGCGAGUCUGAAUAGGGCGUUAAGUUGUGGUCCGCAGACCCGAAGCCGAGUGAGCUACCCAUGGCCAGGGUGAAGCGCGGCUGACCCCGCGUGGAGGUCCGAACCCGUUGGCGUUGAAAAGUCAUGGGAUGAGCUGUGGGUAGGGGUGAAAUGCCAAUCGAACUCGGCGAUAGCUGGUUCUCCCCGAAAUAGCUUUAGGGCUAGCCUCGGGGGCUGGUAGGCGGAGGUAGAGCACUGAUUGGGCUAGGGGCCCUACCAGGUUACCGAACCCAUUCAAACUCCGAAUUCCGCUGUACUUUACCCCGGGAGUCAGUCUGUGGGGGAUAAGCUUCGCAGACGAGAGGGGAACAACCCGGACCGCCGGCUAAGGUCCCCAAGGCAGGCUAAGUGGUAAAGGAAGUGGGGUUUCCCAGACAGCCAGGAUGUUGGCUUAGAAGCAGCCAUCAUUUAAAGAGUGCGUAACAGCUCACUGGCCGAGUGGCCCUGCGCCGAAAAUACACGGGGCUUAAGUCUGCCACCGAAGCCGCGGACUGAUGGAAGUCAGUGGUAGGGGAGCGUUCUGUCUGCUGAGAAGGCUGAUCGUGAGGACGGCUGGAGCGGGCAGAAGUGAGAAUGCCGGUAUGAGUAGCGAAAAGGCUGGUGGGAAUCCGGCCCGCCGGAAGCCCGAGGGUUCCUGAGGAAGGCUCGUCCGCUCAGGGUUAGUCGGGGCCUAAGCUGAGGCCGAAAGGCGUAGGUGAUGGGGAGCCGGUUGAUAUUCCGGCACCACCUUUUGACCGUUAUGAGCGAUGGGGUGACGCAGUGGGGUAGGCCAACCGUGCGAUUGGUGGAGUGCGGCCAAGCCCGUAGGGGUGCUCUUCCAGGCAAAUCCGGGAGGGUGUUAACCUGAGGGGUGAAGGGGAGGGAAAUUGAGUACCGAAGUGGCUGAUCCCGUACUGCUGAAAAAAGCCUCUAGCCAGGUCAUGGGUGCCCGUACCCUAAACCGACACAGGUAGGCGGGGAGAGGAUCCCAAGGCGCGCGGGGCAACCCUCGCUAAGGAACUCGGCAAAAUGACCCCGUAACUUCGGGAGAAGGGGUGCCGACUGGGUGAAGCGCCAUGCGCGUGGAGCCUGGGAGGUUGCAGAGAAACGGCCCAAGCGACUGUUUAACAAAAACACAGGUCUCUGCUAAGGCGCAAGCCGAGGUAUAGGGGCUGACGCCUGCCCAGUGCUGGAAGGUUAAGGGGAGGGGUUAGCGGAAGCGAAGCUCCGAACCGAAGCCCCAGUGAACGGCGGCCGUAACUAUAACGGUCCUAAGGUAGCGAAAUUCCUUGUCGGGUAAGUUCCGACCCGCACGAAUGGCGUAACGACUUGGGCGCUGUCUUGACGGGGGGCUCGGCGAAACUGUAAAUACCUGUGAAGAUGCAGGUUACCCGCGACUAGACGGAAAGACCCCGUGGAGCUUUACUGUAGCCUGAGAUUGGAUUCUGGCAUGUUAUGUACAGGAUAGGUGGGAGGCAGGGAAAGAGGGACGCUAGUUCCUCCGGAGCCGACCUUGGGAUACCACCCUUAAUGUGCUGGAGUUCUAACCCCUGCCUGUGAGCCAGGGGGGGGACAUUCUCAGGUGGGCAGUUUGACUGGGGCGGUCGCCUCCUAAAAGGUAACGGAGGCGCCCAAAGGUUCCCUCAGCGCGGUUAGAAAUCGCGCGUUGAGUGUAAAGGCAUAAGGGAGCUUGACUGCGAGAGGAACAUCUCGAGCAGGGUGGAAACACGGGCUUAGUGAUCAGGUGGUACCGAGUGGAAGGGCCAUCGCUUAACGGAUAAAAGCUACCCCGGGGAUAACAGGCUGAUCUCCCCCAAGAGUCCACAUCGACGGGGAGGUUUGGCACCUCGAUGUCGGCUCGUCGCAUCCUGGGGCUGGAGCAGGUCCCAAGGGUUGGGCUGUUCGCCCAUUAAAGCGGUACGUGAGCUGGGUUCAGAACGUCGUG
Molecule: ribosomal RNA, 2705 nt
Filed under: terrestrial metagenome
Description: bacterial LSU rRNA
Rfam family: Bacterial large subunit ribosomal RNA
Source: RNAcentral